This 1372-nucleotide ribosomal RNA is filed under the name Planktothrix agardhii C1-17. RNAcentral's name for it is "partial 16S ribosomal RNA". The record is from RNAcentral. Lineage: Bacteria; Bacillati; Cyanobacteriota; Cyanophyceae; Oscillatoriales; Microcoleaceae.
CUUAGGAAUCCCUAAAUCACCGCCUGCCCACUCAUUGUGCAUUCUUGGACGGAGAUCCUGCCCCUGUUGUCAACCUUUGCUGACGAUUUGGGCCUACUCGGCUUUCCAUUUUCUAAUUAGCGGAUCUCUCCCCGAACGCAGACUAAUCGAUCAACCACUCCAUUCUCGGGUGGUUCCGCUGCUAGUCAUCGACCAGACUCUCCUACUAGUCGGUGUGACCCUGACUCUGUGCCGGGUCUGAGGAUGCCCUCCGUCGUCACCCCUUAAAAGGCGUUACCCGCUUUCGACUGCCUCGUUCUGGCGCACCCCCUCCUUCCAAGAACCUAACAGUUGGGGAAAAGAGUCCCUUCUUGUGUUACUGCCAUGGACUCCUUUUUCGUAGCCGAUUGAGGCACGGUCGUCGGCGCCAUUAUGCCCCCUACGUUCGCAAUAGGCCUUACUAACCCGCAUUUCUCAGGCAUCCAUCAGUAGGUUCAGACGACAAUUUCUCGCUCCGAAUUGGAGCAUUUCCGUCACCUUUGACCUUCUGAUCUCACAUCAUCCCCGUCUCCCUUAAGGACCACAUCGCCACUUUACGCAUCUCUAGUCCUUCUUGUGGCCACCGCUUCCGCGAGACGACCCGAUAUUGACUGUGACUCCCUGCUUUCGAUCCCCUCGCUUACCCUAAUCUAUGGGGUCAUCAGGAUCGCCAUUUGCUACCUUUGAUCCACACCGGACAUAGCUGGGCCCGGCACGGCUUCGUUUGCGCAAUUCAAAGGGCGGACCCCUCAUGCGUGCGUUCACACUUUGAGUUUCCUUAACUGCCCCCGGGCGUGUUCGCCACCUCAUACACCAAAUUAAGCUACGUUGCGCUUCUUGGAAUGGUCCUGAACUGUAGAGACCUUAGAGGAACUUUCCCCUCUCACGGCAUUCCUUGGUCUUCUGUCCACGACGUACCGACAGCAGUCGAGCACAGCACUCUACAACCCAAUUCAGGGCGUUGCUCGCGUUGGGAGCAGCAAUCAACGGUAGUAAUUCAACCCUUGAGAUCGCUCUGACGGCCACUGUUUGGCCUCCUUCCACUCCUACUGCAGUUCAGUCGUACCGGGAAUGCAGGACCCGCUGUGUGCAUGAUGUUACGCUCCCUGUGUCUCGUCGGUUGGGCGCUCCCUCUCGCUUAGAGUGUUUGGGACCGUGUCAAGUCUAACGUCCGACGUUGAGCGGACGUACUUCCUCCUUAGCGAUCAUUAGCGUCCAGUCGUAUGACGCCACUUAGGCAAGGGCCCGGAACAUGUGUGGCGGGCAGUGUGGUACCUUCACUCGGUGCGGGCUUCAGUAAUGAGAUUGGGAAAGCCCCCUCCUCCCACGGCUUCCGCCCCAACUACUGACCCCA